AAAUGCCAAUCGAUAUGCAGAUAUUCGCACUUAGAGAUGGGCGACAGCUAUCAGUGAUCGACCAUUCCUAAAAAAAAUGGCUGACUUGGCGAUUGCUGUUGAUGGCUUUUUCGAAAAUGUAUUUUUUAACUGUAAAGAUAUGGCAAAACGGUGGCUAAAGUGUCACAUGCUCCUCGGACAUUUGGACAUUACAUCGCUCGCGCGCUGCUCUGACAAAUGUAACCCCAAACAAAAGCACAUUAAUUAGCCACCAGCGAGAAAGUUAAAUUGCAGAAAUCGCAAAACUUUAAUAUCCCCCAAGUCCAAAGACCAAAGUCGUGGCGAAAGUCAAAGUAAUGGAAUUGUGUAAUUAACGAGACUCUGGGGAGAAAGACCCGAUGAAACGUUCCAGCUGCUGCGGACUUUUGCUAUAACUUGAAGAUGUCUCCACCACAUCCACAUCCUUCGGACGCAGGAUGGAGUGCAAUAGAUGAAGUGCAACGACGCCCAGCAGAGGACGGAGGAGCCUGGGGGCUGGUUCCAACACCGAUUCAGAACUUAUAGGAGCAGCAUCUCCUCCGAUAUUUAUCAGAUGAAUAUUAAUUAGAAUGAUUAUGUAUUUACAUGUGUGGUCGCUUGAGAAUUGCACAUUUCUCAAGCCAAUUGUUGCUGCUUGAAAGUUUACUGAUGUUUAGCUUGGAUUGGAACACAUUUUUGAAGGAUAUUGAGAACGAGCUACCACCGAUCAAUCAGUUAGAUCCAAGUCUGAUAGAAUGAAUCAGCAUAAUCACAAUAUAAAGAUUUAAUUGGAAGUUAUCUUCCAAUACAGGCCAACAGCCUGUAGCUUUAGAUUUUAACUUUAAGUUCACAGAACAAAAACAAAAUUUAAAUACAUAUGCCUCUACUCUGAUGGAUAGAUACAUUUCAAUAAGAGUCCUUCCUGAAUCUACAGAAAAAAUUCAGAUAUAUUUGCAAUGCCUUUUACGGGAAUGUCUGGUUCUAAAAAAUAUCUGCCAUUUAUGUAUUGAACAUUGCAAGCGCAUAAAUGAUAGAUUCAUGGUGGGUUCUAAAAAAAAACAUUUAUCCUACGGCAAACAUCACAUAUUUUUUUAAAGCUU
This 1097-nucleotide small RNA is filed under the name Drosophila pseudoobscura pseudoobscura. RNAcentral's name for it is "GA31489". The record is from RNAcentral. Lineage: Eukaryota; Metazoa; Arthropoda; Insecta; Diptera; Drosophilidae.